Molecule: ribosomal RNA, 421 nt
Filed under: uncultured bacterium
Lineage: Bacteria
Description: partial 16S ribosomal RNA
Rfam family: Bacterial small subunit ribosomal RNA
Source: RNAcentral
AAUAUUGGACAAUGGGGGAAACCCUGAUCCAGCCAUGCCGCGUGUGUGAAGAAGGUCUUCGGAUUGUAAAGCACUUUAAGUUGGGAGGAAGGGCGUCAAGCUAAUACCUUGAUGCUUUGACGUUACCAACAGAAUAAGCACCGGCUAACUUCGUGCCAGCAGCCGCGGUAAUACAGAGGGUGCAAGCGUUAAUCGGAAUUACUGGGCGUAAAGCGCGCGUAGGUGGUUUGUUAAGUUGGAAGUGAAAGCCCCGGGCUCAACCUGGGAACUGCUUUCAAAACUGGCAAGCUAGAGUAUGGCAGAGGGUGGUGGAAUUUCCUGUGUAGCGGUGAAAUGCGUAGAUAUAGGAAGGAACACCAGUGGCGAAGGCGACUCUCUGGACUGCAACUGACGCUGAGGCACGAAAGCGUGGGGAGCAAAC